CCCAGUCAAAGUUUUAUGUGCCGUACUGAUAAUUGGAAUGCAGGGAUGCUUGGGUGUGCGCUCACUGAAAUUCUUCAGCUAUUUAUAGGAAUAUGGUGAUGAGACCUAGAGUGGACAAGACCAAAGGAUAUCACAUUCCCUCUGGGGUCUGGUCAGCACCAAGAAGUUUGCAACAACCAGCCACAUCCCCUACCCUUUCAGUAUAAAAGAAGCCUGAAUUCUAACUCGGCAUGCAGGAUUUUCAUUCCCCAGUCAGGGGUUGAACCCGAAGCCCCCUGCAUUGGGAAUGCAGAGUCUUAACCACUGGACUGCCAGGGAAGUCCCAAAACCAUACAUCUUAAAGUCAAGGAUGAGGAAAAGCCAGGAUAACCUUACAUUGUUGGUGCAUCUCAAAUCUGUCAGAAUGUCUAUCAUCAAAAAAGAACAUAAAUAAAAAAUGUUGGCGAAGAUAUGGAGAAGAGAGAA
This is a long non-coding RNA of Bos taurus (domestic cattle), 465 nucleotides long. The record is from Ensembl. Lineage: Eukaryota; Metazoa; Chordata; Mammalia; Artiodactyla; Bovidae.